GAGUUUGAUCCUGGCUCAGGAUAAACGCUGGCGGCGCACAUAAGACAUGCAAGUCGAACGAACUUAAUAUCUUGCUUGCAAGGUAAGCGGUUAGUGGCGGACUGGUGAGUAACACGUAAGAAAUCUGCCUAUCAGAGGGGAAUAACAGUGAGAAAUCACUGCUAAUACCGCAUAUGCCAUAAACAUCGCAUGAUGUUAGUGGGAAAGAAGCAAUUCGCUGAUAGAUGAGCUUGCGGCUGAUUAGCUAGUUGGUGGGGUAAAGGCCUACCAAGGCGACGAUCAGUAGCCGGACUGAGAGGUUGAACGGCCACAUUGGGACUGAGAUACGGCCCAGACUCCUACGGGAGGCAGCAGUCGGGAAUAUUGCGCAAUGGAGGCAACUCUGACGCAGUGACGCCGCGUAUAGGAAGAAGGUUUUCGGAUUGUAAACUAUUGUCCACAGGGAAGAAAAAGACUGUACCUGUGAAGAAAGCUCCGGCUAACUACGUGCCAGCAGCCGCGGUAAUACGUAGGGAGCAAGCGUUAUCCGGAUUUAUUGGGUGUAAAGGGUGCGUAGACGGGAUAACAAGUUAGUUGUGAAAACCCUCGGCUCAACUGAGGAACUGCAACUAAAACUAUUAUUCUUGAGUGCAGGAGGGGAAAGUGGAAUUCCUAGUGUAGCGGUGAAAUGCGUAGAUAUUAGGAAGAACACCAGUGGCGAAGGCGACUUUCUGGACUGUAACUG
This 724-nucleotide ribosomal RNA is filed under the name uncultured bacterium. RNAcentral's name for it is "bacterial SSU rRNA". It matches the Rfam family "Bacterial small subunit ribosomal RNA", at positions 9 to 742 of the family's 1533-position model. The record is from RNAcentral.